GAUGAAGAACGCAGCGAAAUGCGAUAAGUAAUGUGAAUUGCAGAAUUCAGUGAAUCAUCGAAUCUUUGAACGCUCAUUGCGCCCGCCAGUAUUCUGGCGGGCAUGCCUGUUCGAGCGUCAUUUCAACCAUCAAGCCCCAGGCUUGCGUUGGAGCCCUGCGGCUGCCGCAGCCUCCCAAAACCAGUGGCGGGCUCGCUAUCACACCGAGUGCAGUAGUUUACUCUUCGCUCAGGGCGUGUGGCGGGUGCUAGCCGUAAAACCCCCAACUUCUCAAGGUUGACCUCGGAUCAGGUAGGAAUACCCGCUGAACUUAAGCAUAUCAAUAAGCGGAGGA
This 334-nucleotide unclassified non-coding RNA is filed under the name soil metagenome. RNAcentral describes it as "partial contains 5.8S ribosomal RNA, internal transcribed spacer 2, and large subunit ribosomal RNA". The stretch from base 1 to 120 matches the Rfam family "5.8S ribosomal RNA", at positions 35 to 154 of the family's 154-position model. The record is from RNAcentral.